This 431-nucleotide long non-coding RNA is filed under the name Equus caballus (horse). RNAcentral describes it as "lncRNA (ENSECAG00000036070.2)". The record is from RNAcentral. Lineage: Eukaryota; Metazoa; Chordata; Mammalia; Perissodactyla; Equidae.
AAAAAUUUCCAUUGAAGUAAAGGUUUAGUAUCUGUAUUCAUUUCCUAGGGCUGUCAUAAAAAAUUACCACAAACCUAGAGGCUCCAAACAACAGAAAUUUAUCAUCUCACAGUUCGAGAGGCCAGAUGUCCAAACUCAAGAAAUUAGAACUCCUUGUCCACUUCAGGCCUGUUGAAACCACCAACUCAUCAACUCGGCCCAUGCAGAUGUCCAAUAGGCGACCUUUUGACAUCAAGAGGCUAAAAACUCCAUCCUCAGAUCAUGCUAAUGCUGCCAUUUUGUGAACAUGGGUCCUAUGAAGAGGCAUGAAGUCUGACUACGCUUGCACAGAGCAUCAAUUACCUCACCUCCAAUCACCUCUCUCCACAUUUUAGACCACCUUGCCCCCAUCCCAUAAAUAUCCCUGAGUCCCUAUUUUUGGGGAAGCAAAU